RNAcentral lists this ribosomal RNA (301 nucleotides) under uncultured bacterium. Its description in RNAcentral is "partial 16S ribosomal RNA". It matches the Rfam family "Bacterial small subunit ribosomal RNA", at positions 509 to 809 of the family's 1533-position model. The record is from RNAcentral.
CAGUAGCCGCGGGAAUACGUAGGGUGCGAGCGUUGUCCGGAAUUAUUGGGCGUAAAGAGCUUGUAGGUGGUUUGUCGCGUCUGCUGUGAAAAUCCGAGGCUCAACCUCGGACUUGCAGUGGGUACGGGCAGACUAGAGUGUGGUAGGGGAGACUGGAAUUCCUGGUGUAGCGGUGGAAUGCGCAGAUAUCAGGAGGGACACCGAUGGCGAAGGCAGGUCUCUGGGCCAUUACUGACACUGAGAAGCGAAAGCAUGGGGAGCGAACAGGAUUAGAUACCCCAGUAGUCCCUGUCUCUUAUAU